UACAGAGGCCUCGAGCGUUAGGCGGAAUCACUGGGCUUAAAGCGUGUGUAGGCGGAUGCCUAAGUGCCUUGUGAAAUCCCACGGCUUAACCGUGGAACUGCUUGGCAUACUGGGUGUCUUGAGCAGCCUAGGGGCGAGCGGAACAGAUGGUGGAGCGGUGAAAUGCGUAGAUAUCAUCUGGAACGCCAAUGGUGAAGACAGCUCGCUGGGGGCUCGCUGACGCUGAGACACGAAAGCCAGGGGAGCGAACGGG
Molecule: ribosomal RNA, 253 nt
Filed under: uncultured bacterium
Lineage: Bacteria
Description: partial 16S ribosomal RNA
Rfam family: Bacterial small subunit ribosomal RNA
Source: RNAcentral